GAUGAACGCUGGCGGCGGGCCUAAUACAUGCAAGUCGAGCGAACACAUGAUAAGCUUGCUCUUCUGACGUUAGCGGCGGACGGGUGAGUAACACUUGGAUAACCUACCUAUUUUACUUGGAGGACUUCGGGAAACCAGAGCUAAUACCGGCUAAUAUGUUGAACCGCAUGGUUCAAUAGUGAUUGACGGUUUUGCUGUCACUUAUAGAUGGUUCCGCGCCGUAUUAGCUAGUUGGUAAGGUAACGGCUUACCAAGGCAACGAUGCGUAGCUGGCCUGAGAGGGUGAUCAGCCACACUGGAACUGAGACACGGUCCAGACUCCUACGGGAGGCAGCAGUAGGGAAUAUUGCGCAAUGGGCGCAAGCCUGACGGAGCAACGCCGCGUGAGUGAAGAAGGUCUUCGGAUUGUAAAACUCUGUUAUUAGGAAAGAAAAAAAGUGGAAGAAACCACCGACGUUUUGACGGUACCUAAAGAGAAAGCAACGGCUAACUUCGUG
RNAcentral lists this ribosomal RNA (497 nucleotides) under uncultured bacterium. Its description in RNAcentral is "partial 16S ribosomal RNA". It matches the Rfam family "Bacterial small subunit ribosomal RNA", at positions 28 to 507 of the family's 1533-position model. The record is from RNAcentral.